GACAGAGGUGGCUAGCGUUGUUCGGUAUCACUGGGCUUAAAGCGUGUGUAGGCGGAAGCGUAAGCAUUUUGUGAAAUCCCUCGGCUUAACCGGGGAAUCGCUUGAUGUACUGCGUUUCUUGAGGCAGGUAGGGGUGCGAGGAACUCUUGGUGGAGCGGUGGAAUGCGUAGAUAUCAAGAGGAACGCCGGUGGUGAAGACGUCGCACUGGGCCUGUCCUGACGCUGAGACACGAAAGCGUGGGGAGCGAAC
This 250-nucleotide ribosomal RNA is filed under the name uncultured bacterium. Its description in RNAcentral is "partial 16S ribosomal RNA". It matches the Rfam family "Bacterial small subunit ribosomal RNA", at positions 524 to 773 of the family's 1533-position model. The record is from RNAcentral.